This 613-nucleotide unclassified non-coding RNA is filed under the name Hevea brasiliensis (rubber tree). The record is from RNAcentral. Lineage: Eukaryota; Viridiplantae; Streptophyta; Magnoliopsida; Malpighiales; Euphorbiaceae.
AAAUGAAAAUUAAAAGCAUAAUUUAGGUCUUCUUCCACCUCUCUUUGCCGCCACACUUCACUCAUCUCUCUUUCUCACAAAUUUCUCUUAAUUUCCACCAUGGAAGUUUAUGGUUAAGCUUCCUAAACCCUAAAUUCAACCCUAAAUCCCCUACUUUCCUUAAAGAAAACUAGUAAUUGAGCCUUGAAAAGAAGAUUGAAGAAAGAAAAAUUCAAGAAGAAGGUGGAAAAAUUGAAGAGGGAGAAGCUACAUAAAGCGGUUAGUUCAAAUCAUCUAAUCUCUCCUUAUAUUCAUGCAUAUAUACUUGAAUUAACUUAGAAAAUUGAGAAAAAUGAAAUAAAAUCAAGCAUAUUAGAACCCUAAUGAAAUUCGGCUACCAUGGUGGUAGUGUGAAUUGAUGUGUUUUGGUUUGAUAAAAUAUGUAUACAAGUUCAAUUAAGUGUGUAGAGAAUGUUUAGAUACUUUAAUUGCAUAAAUUGAAACACUUGGAAAAAUUAGGGUUCUUGACUUAGGGUUUGAAAAAGAAAAAUUGUAGAAAAUGGUCAAUGGAUGCAAAUGAUCUUGAUGAGGGUUAGAAAUGGUCAAAUGGGACCAUUUGUGGUGUGUGUGAAUU